This 253-nucleotide ribosomal RNA is filed under the name uncultured bacterium. Its description in RNAcentral is "partial 16S ribosomal RNA". It matches the Rfam family "Bacterial small subunit ribosomal RNA", at positions 524 to 776 of the family's 1533-position model. The record is from RNAcentral.
AACGUAGGAGGCGAGCGUUAUCCGGAGUUACUGGGCGUAAAGCGUGUGUAGGCGGUUGUAUAAGUGGGGUGUGAAAAGUUCCAGCUAAACUGGGAAGGUGCGCCUCAGACUGUAUAACUAGAGUGGGAUAGAGGGGCGUGGAAUUCCGGGUGGAGCGGUGAAAUGUGUAGAGAUCCGGAGGAACACCAGAGGCGCAAGCGGCGCCCUGGGUCCCAACUGACGCUGAGACACGAAAGCUUGGGGAGCGAACGGG